CCGGCACCCGAACUUGUCCCUGAAAGUAAACAAAUUCCAUCCAACGCCACAGCUGGGAGGGGCUGGGAGCCCCUCAUCCUGAAGUGGAGACUGAGCCUUAAGUGGACAAGGUCCUGUUCAAGGUCACCCAGUGAUUUGGGGCAGAGUUGGGGCUGGAAUGCCGUCCUAGGACGCCCGCACACAAAAUCCCUCCCAUUCCCAGCAGUCCUGAUUUCUGUCCUGCUUCGCUUCUCCCCAUAACACCGCAGGCCACCCCUCGCCUGUGAGGGUCGAGGACCCAGGACGAGAUAACGGAGAUGUGGGGAGAGGUUGUCAAUUCCAUCAAAUUGUCAUGCUGACUACAAGUUGCUGUUUGCUAGAUCAUCUGCAACAGACUCCCCCGAGACCACCCCCUCCCGUCUGGGAUGUCCCCAUGGGAAGUGACAGGAUUAACCAGACUUGGAGCUGAAGUCUCUCUUUAUUGCACUGGUGAUGUGUUCGGGGGCGCCACAGGCAGGGGAGGUGCAGAGGGUACCACCUCCUCUUCGGUCAGCAUCUCUGCCAGGACUCGGGUCUGAGUCCAGUCGCUGUGGCUCCUGGGGCAGGGUGAGUUGUUUGAUGGGAGGUGAGCCUCCAAGUUCCCAGGCCUCCUCCUCCC
Molecule: long non-coding RNA, 637 nt
Organism: Rhinolophus ferrumequinum (greater horseshoe bat)
Lineage: Eukaryota; Metazoa; Chordata; Mammalia; Chiroptera; Rhinolophidae
Exons: 4
Source: RefSeq, a predicted model, not a curated record